RNAcentral lists this ribosomal RNA (267 nucleotides) under Triticum aestivum (bread wheat). RNAcentral describes it as "partial small subunit ribosomal RNA". The record is from RNAcentral. Lineage: Eukaryota; Viridiplantae; Streptophyta; Magnoliopsida; Poales; Poaceae.
GACAUUAAGAAGCUGGACUCCUCUGCCACGACCUACUUCGACAAGAUGAAGGUGCUGGCGGACACACUCACCUCUAUCGGUCGACCGCUCAGCGACGAGGAGUUUGUUGGCUUUGUUAUCAAAGGCCUCGAUGCCGACUAUGACAAUCUCGCCGAGGCUGUGCACAACGCCAAGCCAGCGAUGCCCCCGCACGAGCUCUACUCACGACUCCUCUACACCGAGCAGCGCGUCGAGGCUUAUCGCUCCUUCUCCACCAUCACCUCAUAG